RNAcentral lists this ribosomal RNA (426 nucleotides) under uncultured Chamaesiphon sp. RNAcentral describes it as "bacterial SSU rRNA". It matches the Rfam family "Bacterial small subunit ribosomal RNA", at positions 355 to 795 of the family's 1533-position model. The record is from RNAcentral. Lineage: Bacteria; Bacillati; Cyanobacteriota; Cyanophyceae; Gomontiellales; Chamaesiphonaceae.
UGGGGAAUUUUCCGCAAUGGGCGCAAGCCUGACGGAGCAAUACCGCGUGAGGGAGGAAGGCUCUUGGGUCGUAAACCUCUUUUCUCAGGGAAGAACACAAUGACGGUACCUGAGGAAUCAGCAUCGGCUAACUCCGUGCCAGCAGCCGCGGUAAUACGGAGGAUGCAAGCGUUAUCCGGAAUGAUUGGGCGUAAAGCGUCCGUAGGUGGUUUUGUAAGUCUGUGGUUAAAGCGUGUAGCUCAACUACAUAACGGCCAUGGAAACUACAUAACUUGAGUGAAGUAGGGGUAGAGGGAAUUCCCAGUGUAGCGGUGAAAUGCGUAGAGAUUGGGAAGAACACCGGUGGCGAAAGCGCUGUACUGGACUUAUACUGACACUGAGGGACGAAAGCUAGGGGAGCGAAAGGGAUUAGAUACCCCUGUAGUC